CCCGCUGCACUACAGCAUAUCAUUAAGCGGAGGAAAAGAAACUAACAAGGAUUCCCAUAGUAACUGCGAGUGAAGCGGGAAAAGCUCAAAUUUAAAAUCUGGUGGCCUCUGGACAUCCGAGUUGUAAUUUAGAGAAGCGUCUUCCGCGCUGGACCGUGCACAAGUCUCCUGGAAUGGAGCGUCGUAGAGGGUGAGAAUCCCGUCUUUGGCACGGACGCCCAGUGCUUCUGUGAUGCGCUCUCGAAGAGUCGAGUUGUUUGGGAAUGCAGCUCAAAAUGGGUGGUGAACUCCAUCUAAAGCUAAAUAUUGGCGAGAGACCGAUAGCGAACAAGUACCGUGAGGGAAAGAUGAAAAGCACUUUGGAAAGAGAGUGAAACAGUACGUGAAAUUGUUGAAAGGGAAACGCUUGAAGUCAGUCGCGUCCGCCUGGGCUCAGCUGGGCUUUGCUCAGUGCACUUCCAGGCGGAUGGGCCAGCAUCGAUUUCUUCCGCCGGAUAAAGGCUUGGGGAAGGUGGCACCCUCGGGUGUGUUAUAGCCCCUUGCUAAACGGUGGCGGGGAUCGAGGAAUGCAGCACGAACCGGGGUUCGCCCACGCCGCGUGCUUAGGAUGCUGGCGUAAUGGCUUUAAGCGACCCGUCUUGAAACACGG
RNAcentral lists this ribosomal RNA (649 nucleotides) under uncultured fungus. RNAcentral describes it as "eukaryotic LSU rRNA". It matches the Rfam family "Eukaryotic large subunit ribosomal RNA", at positions 24 to 664 of the family's 3401-position model. Lineage: Eukaryota; Fungi. The record is from RNAcentral.